GGAGUUUGGUCCGUGUCUCAGUACCAAUGUGGGGGACCUUCCUCUCAGAACCCCUACUGAUCGUCGGCUCGGUGGGCCGUUACCCCGCCGACUGCCUAAUCAGACGCAUCCCCAUCCCUUAGCGAUGAAUCUUUGGUUUGAUUUUGAUGUCAGCAUCAAACAACAUAGGGAAUUAAUCCGACUUUCGCCGGGCUGUGCCCUACUAAGGGGAAGGUUGGAUACGCGUUACUCACCAGUGCGCCGGUCGCCGCCAGGCGUGUUGCCACGCCCGCGAUGCCCCUCGACUUGCAUGUGUUAAGCCUGUCGCUAGCGUUCAUC
This 318-nucleotide ribosomal RNA is filed under the name uncultured Bacteroidales bacterium. RNAcentral describes it as "partial 16S ribosomal RNA". Lineage: Bacteria; Pseudomonadati; Bacteroidota; Bacteroidia; Bacteroidales. The record is from RNAcentral.